UAUUAUUUGGAACUUUUGGACUUCAAUGGAUUGCUUUGUGCUAUUUUUUACCCAAUUGAAGGAACUGACAAGUCUUUUGAUUUAUGGGUUAUGAAUGAGUCAUGGACUAAACAAUUAAGUGUUGAAUAUGUUCUUGGAGUUGAGAGGCCUUUGGGGUUUUGGAAAAAUGGUGAGUUGUUUCUCGAGAGCUCGGAUCAAGAACUAGUACUGUUCGACCCG
Molecule: long non-coding RNA, 219 nt
Organism: Hibiscus syriacus
Lineage: Eukaryota; Viridiplantae; Streptophyta; Magnoliopsida; Malvales; Malvaceae
Exons: 3
Source: RefSeq, a predicted model, not a curated record